Molecule: long non-coding RNA, 895 nt
Filed under: Gossypium barbadense (sea-island cotton)
Lineage: Eukaryota; Viridiplantae; Streptophyta; Magnoliopsida; Malvales; Malvaceae
Description: long non-coding RNA (GBAR_LNC020747)
Source: RNAcentral
CAAAAGAAUCUGACUGCGAACAACAUUGUAAGUCUCAUUUAAUCCCAUCAAACAUUGAAAAAGUCAUUGCGUAAGAUGCUCAAUAUUUCUCCUGGAUUGAUCAGAACCACAAAAAGAGAAAGGGACAAGAGCAUCAUACUCAUCUCAUAAUAACCACAACUUUGUAAAAUAAGCAGAUACAUUGGACAUACAUUGGAUAUGAGAAUUUAUUUCCUGAUGCAAGAAAAAAUUUCCUAGAAUAAUCAACCUUGUUAAAUCUUUCUCCAAGACCUUUCCAGACUGCCUUUACACUAGAAGCAAAUACGAUUCUAACCGAGAGCUCCCUGCUAAUAGUAUUCAAUAUCUAGAGCAUUACAUCGCUCCCAUUGUGAAUAUAAAUCCUCAGAGAGAAUCUUUAAAAUAAGUGUCAUCAACAAGCCCUAAUUUGUUCUUGGCUAAUAAUGCAAUUUUCAUAGAUCGACUCCAAACAUUAUAGUUUUCAAUUCCAAGAAGUUGAUGAGAUACCAGUAACGAGCCUAGGGUGUUCGAGGAAUGUAGAUAAAGAGGAUGAUUAAAAUCGAUAACCUGGUCGGAGAGAUCUAUGAUCGUAAACAAGAUCAACAUAUUCCAACUAUAAGAUUCGAAAAAACAACAAGACUAAGAAGAAAUUGCAAACAACCCAAUAACUUUUAACUGCAAUCAAGAACAACUUCCAGGAACAACGAUGAUCGAAAUACGACAACCAUCGAUUACUCUGAUACCAUGUUGAGAUAGCAGCAAGUAACGAAACAAUCGAUUGAAAGCAAAAACAAUUGAUUGUUGCGAUAGCAGUUGACAAUGAAACAAUCGAUUGAAAAUAAGAAACAAUCAAUUGAACAGAGGAAAGAAUGAAUCAGAGCUGAAAAAAUUAUCAAGC